AGCGGGUCUGAGAGGAUGAUCCGCCACACUGGGACUGAGACACGGCCCAGACUCCUACGGGAGGCAGCAGUGGGGAAUAUUGGACAAUGGGCGCAAGCCUGAUCCAGCCAUGCCGCGUGUGUGAAGAAGGCCUUAUGGUUGUAAAGCACUUUAAGCGAGGAGGAGGCUACUUUAGAUAAUACCUAGAGAUAGUGGACGUUACUCGCAGAAUAAGCACCGGCUAACUCUGUGCCAGCAGCCGCGGUAAUACAGAGGGUGCAAGCGUUAAUCGGAUUUACUGGGCGUAAAGCGCGCGUAGGCGGCUAAUUAAGUCAAAUGUGAAAUCCCCGAGCUUAACUUGGGAAUUGCAUUCGAUACUGGUUAGCUAGAGUGUGGGAGAGGAUGGUAGAAUUCCAGGUGUAGCGGUGAAAUGCGUAGAGAUCUGGAGGAAUACCGAUGGCGAAGGCAGCCAUCUGGCCUAACACUGACGCUGAGGUGCGAAAGCAUGGGGAGCAAACAGGAUUAGAUACCCUGGUAGUCCAUGCCGU
RNAcentral lists this ribosomal RNA (527 nucleotides) under Acinetobacter rhizosphaerae. RNAcentral describes it as "bacterial SSU rRNA". It matches the Rfam family "Bacterial small subunit ribosomal RNA", at positions 285 to 803 of the family's 1533-position model. Lineage: Bacteria; Pseudomonadati; Pseudomonadota; Gammaproteobacteria; Moraxellales; Moraxellaceae. The record is from RNAcentral.